CAACGACUCUCGGCAACGGAUAUCUCGGCUCUCGCAUCGAUGAAGAACGUAGCGAAAUGCGAUACUUGGUGUGAAUUGCAGAAUCCCGUGAACCAUCGAGUCUUUGAACGCAAGUUGCGCCCGAAGCCAUCCGGCUGAGGGCACGUCUGCCUGGGUGUCACGCA
Molecule: ribosomal RNA, 164 nt
Filed under: Lawsonia inermis (henna)
Lineage: Eukaryota; Viridiplantae; Streptophyta; Magnoliopsida; Myrtales; Lythraceae
Description: 5.8S ribosomal RNA
Rfam family: 5.8S ribosomal RNA
About the family: 5.8S ribosomal RNA (5.8S rRNA) is a component of the large subunit of the eukaryotic ribosome. It is transcribed by RNA polymerase I as part of the 45S precursor that also contains 18S and 28S rRNA.
Source: RNAcentral